GGGGGAUUAGCUCAUUUGGUAGAGCGUUUGCAUGGCAUGCAAAAGGUGACCGGUUCGAUUCCGGUAUCCUCCA
Molecule: transfer RNA, 73 nt
Filed under: Taibaiella lutea
Lineage: Bacteria; Pseudomonadati; Bacteroidota; Chitinophagia; Chitinophagales; Chitinophagaceae
Rfam family: tRNA
About the family: Transfer RNA (tRNA) molecules are approximately 80 nucleotides in length. Their secondary structure includes four short double-helical elements and three loops (D, anti-codon, and T loops). Further hydrogen bonds mediate the characteristic L-shaped molecular structure. tRNAs have two regions of fundamental functional importance: the anti-codon, which is responsible for specific mRNA codon recognition, and the 3' end, to which the tRNAs corresponding amino acid is attached (by aminoacyl-tRNA synthetases). tRNAs cope with the degeneracy of the genetic code in two manners: having more than one tRNA (with a specific anti-codon) for a particular amino acid; and 'wobble' base-pairing, i.e. permitting non-standard base-pairing at the 3rd anti-codon position.
Source: Rfam by way of RNAcentral